This 484-nucleotide ribosomal RNA is filed under the name uncultured bacterium. RNAcentral's name for it is "partial 16S ribosomal RNA". It matches the Rfam family "Bacterial small subunit ribosomal RNA", at positions 28 to 523 of the family's 1533-position model. The record is from RNAcentral.
GAUGAACGCUGGCGGCGUGCUUAACACAUGCAAGUCGAACGGUGAAGCAGGAACUUGCUCUUGUGGACCAGUGGCGAACGGGUGAGUAACACGUGAGCAACCUGCCCCUGACUCUGGGGUAAGCGCUGGAAACGGCGUCUAAUACUGGAUAUGUGAUGUGACCGCAUGGUCUGUAUCUGGAAAGAAUUUCGGUUGGGGAUGGGCUCGCGGCCUAUCAGCUGGUUGGUGAGGUAAUGGCUCACCAAGCCGUCGACGGGUAGCCGGCCUGAGAGGGUGGCCGGCCACACUGUGACUGAGACACGGCCCAGACUCCUACGGGAGGCAGCAGUGGGGAAUAUUGCACAAUGGGCGGAAGCCUCAUGCAGCAACGCCGCGUGAGGGAUGACGGCCUUCGGGUUGUAAACCUCUUUUAGCAGGGAAGAAGCGAGAGUGCCGGUACCUGCAGAAAAAGCACCGGCUAACUACGUGCCAGCAGCCGCAGUAA